AUUGAACGCUGGCGGCAUGCCUUACACAUGCAAGUCGAACGGUAACAGGUCUUCGGAUGCUGACGAGUGGCGAACGGGUGAGUAACACAUCGGAACGUGCCUAGUAGUGGGGGAUAACUACUCGCAAGAGUGGCUAAUACCGCAUGAGAUCCACGGAUGAAAGCAGGGGAUCGCAAGACCUUGUGCUACUAGAGCGGCCGAUGGCAGAUUAGGUAGUUGGUGGGAUAAAAGCUUACCAAGCCGACGAUCUGUAGCUGGUCUGAGAGGACGAUCAGCCACACUGGGACUGAGACACGGCCCAGACUCCUACGGGAGGCAGCAGUGGGGUAUUUUGGACAAUGGGCGAAAGCCUGAUCCAGCAAUGCCGCGUGCAGGAUGAAGGCCUUCGGGUUGUAAACUGCUUUUGUACGGAACGAAAAGCCCUGGGUUAAUACCCUGGGGUCAUGACGGUACCGUAAGAAUAAGCACCGGCUAACUACGUGCCAGCCGCCGCGGUAA
This 498-nucleotide ribosomal RNA is filed under the name uncultured bacterium. Its description in RNAcentral is "partial 16S ribosomal RNA". It matches the Rfam family "Bacterial small subunit ribosomal RNA", at positions 30 to 523 of the family's 1533-position model. The record is from RNAcentral.